RNAcentral lists this unclassified non-coding RNA (321 nucleotides) under plant metagenome. RNAcentral describes it as "partial contains 5.8S ribosomal RNA, internal transcribed spacer 2, and large subunit ribosomal RNA". The stretch from base 1 to 105 matches the Rfam family "5.8S ribosomal RNA", at positions 50 to 154 of the family's 154-position model. The record is from RNAcentral.
GAAAUGCGAUAAGUAAUGUGAAUUGCAGAAUUCAGUGAAUCAUCGAAUCUUUGAACGCACAUUGCGCCCGCCAGUAUUCUGGCGGGCAUGCCUGUUCGAGCGUCAUUACAACCCUCAGGCCCCCGGGCCUGGCGUUGGGGAUCGGCGGAAGCCCCCUGCGGGCACAACGCCGUCCCCCAAAUACAGUGGCGGUCCCGCCGCAGCUUCCAUUGCGUAGUAGCUAACACCUCGCAACUGGAGAGCGGCGCGGCCACGCCGUAAAACACCCAACUUCUGAAUGUUGACCUCGAAUCAGGUAGGAAUACCCGCUGAACUUCAGCA